Molecule: non-coding RNA, 23 nt
Filed under: Rattus norvegicus (Norway rat)
Lineage: Eukaryota; Metazoa; Chordata; Mammalia; Rodentia; Muridae
Source: RNAcentral
UGUAAUUAUAGAUAAUUGUAGGU